Molecule: long non-coding RNA, 3074 nt
Filed under: Equus asinus (donkey)
Lineage: Eukaryota; Metazoa; Chordata; Mammalia; Perissodactyla; Equidae
Description: lncRNA (ENSEASG00005031722.1)
Source: RNAcentral
CCGCGGCCCGGGGAGCUGGGGGCCCCGCGCCCGGCCGUUCCCACCCCCGCCCGGGCAGGGCGUUCCCGCCGGCCGGCUUCCUGCCACCCGGGGCACGGAGGAGGGCAGGGAGGAGGGCGGGCGCGGGGCCGCGGGGCCUGGCAGGCCUGGUUCCUGGCUUUCUCUCCGCGUUUCCUGAGCGGGACCGGCCGGGGGAUGGGACCCAGCGCAAACCCCCUUCCCCGGGAGCGCAGCCAGGAAACCGCGUCCUGGUUCCCGCCGGGCCCUCCUCCUCCUCCUCGCUGAUGGCCGGCCACUGUCGUUUCGUCCUUCAGCUGGGUACGAUGCGACCCGCCGGCCCCGUGAGCAAGCCGAGAGAUGAGAGGGCAGACCCCGGACCGCACACACAGCGAGAUUCCGACCCCUCGAUGUCAGCUUACUAACGCCGUCCUACGGAUGAGAAAAGCGAGGCGUAAAACAUGAAGUGACUUACCCAAGGUCGUCAUAAAAAUAUCACUCGGAAUAAAAUAAAGCGCUUCCUACAGACCAGGCGCUGUGCUACAAAUGCUCUAAAUGGAUGACAUAAUGAUAAAACCCCUCUCUUAGGGUCAUCGGGAAGAUGAAAUGAGUUAGGACAUAUUCAGUUCAUAGAACAGGCCUGUCACGUGGUGAAUUCCGUGCAAGAAUUAGCUGUUGCUGUAGUCUGAUUGGAAGAACCACGUCAGUGACUCGGGACACAAAUUUUUCCCUGCACUAAACUCUCAGAGGAACGUAUUAUUAAAGGACCCCAACGAGUGCAAGGGACCGUGCCUAAAAGUGUUAGACUUUUAGGACACUGCUGGGCCCUGUGUCCCAUUCUCUCAUUGGCUUUUGGCUCAGACAAGCCUCAGCAUUCUGCUCACUGGGUAAUUCUGCAGGCAGGCGGCUGGGGGCCCGGGGGCCUUUCCGAUGACCUGUCCACGUGGCAGGUAAGUGUGGAGGGGAGAAGCAGAGGGGGUGGUGUCAGACAGACCCACGUGCAUUUGUUAACCUCUUUAAGCCUCGGUUUCUUCAUCCACGGUGAGGACGAUAACAAAUAGACCCCCCCAAGGGAGCUGCUCUGAAGAGAACGUGAAAAAAUAAAUACAGAACACCUGCCACAGUCACUGGCUCAUAGGAGGCCUGCAGCGCACGCACCCACAGAAUAAGGAAGAAACCGACAGAAUAAAACGGGAAGCUCACCUGAGACCCUGGAGUACGGAGGAUAAUUUUUAAUACUCCCCAAAGUGGAACAGAAGUGGUACAUUUCCCCCAGAAGGCGGCCUGGGCUGACCAAAGCAUCAUGGCUUUGCUUCUGCCUGGAAUUCGCUUGGCCUGACUCAGUGCAUGUGGAGGCCGGGCUGGCCCAUUUGGGGAGCCACUCUGGCCUGGAGAGGCGCCACAGAGCAAGAAUGGCCAGUGGGCCUCGGCAACUGACUCUGUCUUUGAUGGGGAUUGAGAACCGCAAGUUCCCCCCAGGGCUUCCAUGUGUUGGCUGCCUCCUAGGUACCCAGUGCUCUGCUGAGCUUUACACACAUGACCAUGUCCAGCCCCCACGACAGCUUCCAGGGGUGAGCCCUCUUCAGAGUCACAUUUUACAGAUGAGAAAACUGAGGAUCAGAGAAGGAAAGUGGCCUAUCUCUGGUCACACAGCUAAGAAGCAGCAGAGCUGGGACAUGAAAGCCGGGACAUGACGCUAGUAUGUGUUCCUAACCAUUAGACUACACUGCCUCUCCCCUCCAACCUGACCCGGGAUCUCGUCUGUCUCAUUAGCCAGCCUCUCUCUUCCGAGGCUGACUUUUUUCAUGAAGAAUCUUCUAGGAAAUACCUGCUGCCUGGCCCCAGGGCAGCCCCCUGCCCUGUGGAAACUAGCUCAUGGGCAGGAUAGACAAGUUUCACCGGGGUGCCUCAAGCUCAUCAGAAGCUCCGAGUGGAUGGAAAAUCAGCCGCCAUUGCCUGAGUCCAGCCUGCAGCUCCGAUCUGCUCAGCUUCCUGGUUGGUCUCUCUGCCUCUGGGCUCCCCAGCCUCCAUUCCUCCCUUCACACACAGCCAGACCGAGUAAUUGCUCUUCACACUUAUCUAACCAAGUCAUGCCGCUGCUGAAUAAUCUUCAAUAGCUCCCUGUUGCUCCCAGGACCAAGUUCAAAGUCAACAGCUCAGUUUAGCCCCCAAGGCCCAGCCUACGUCUCCAACCCUCUCUUUCCUCUCAGGCAUCCUCGGCCCCCACAGCCCCAGGCAUUCACCGUUCCCAGCCCCAGAGCCUUUGCACAUGCAGUUCCCCCGUGUGAUGCAAGAUAAAUAAACAUGUGAACGAGCUGCCAGGCCUCAGCUGGGCUGUGAGGCUGUCAGAUCCCAUUAGCUCACCUUCUCCAGGUGGUGGCUGGGCCUUCCUGCCCUCUGAUGGAGACUUCUCUGCUGGGGGAGUUGCCCACCGUCCACCUGGAAAAGGGACCAGACAGGAACAGAGCACCAGCAACUCCAGCUUUCUGUAGAGCCCUGGGAAGUGAGGGCCUUACCUUGCACCCACUCCACGUGUCAGAGGCCAGGUGUCGGGGUGGGUGACACGAUAAAGCCACCAACGGGGUCCAGAUUUCCUACCGGGUCUGUAUGGUGCCUGUGUCCAAGCUGUUAACAGCUACCCUACGCUCUCUCCUCGGUGGAGGCAGAAUCCUCCUCUCUCUCUGUGUACCGUGUACACAGUUGCCAGGCGCCGACCCGGAGCAGGCACAGCGUGCCCACCUCCCCCUCCCCACUUGGUAAGGAAAAUUGCGCUGGAGGAAGGUGCCCACCCCGCUGCGAGUUCCGCGCCUGUCUCUGGUGCCUCUGCGCCGCCUGGCGGGCAUACCUGGAAUAGACCAGGAUUUUUGCCGACAGCUCCGCUUAGCGCAAUUCUCCAGGGUGGCAUCUUGGUCUCAUUCCACAUCCCCCCUAAGGCCCUGGGGCUCCCCUGAGCCUGAGGCUCUGAGAAAGGCAGAAGCUGAUUCUGUCUCACCGUGGAAUCUUGGGUCUGUGACUGGCCUUCUCUGGGCUCAAGUUCCUCAUCUAUAAAAAAAGGGCAGGAGGACACUGAACCCUAU